CCUGGCGGCGAUAGCGCGGUGGUCCCACCUGACCCCAUGCCGAACUCAGAAGUGAAACGCCGUAGCGCCGAUGGUAGUGCGGGGUCUCCCCAUGCGAGAGUAGGGAACUGCCAGGC
RNAcentral lists this ribosomal RNA (116 nucleotides) under Hafnia paralvei. Lineage: Bacteria; Pseudomonadati; Pseudomonadota; Gammaproteobacteria; Enterobacterales; Hafniaceae. The record is from RNAcentral.